RNAcentral lists this unclassified non-coding RNA (213 nucleotides) under plant metagenome. RNAcentral describes it as "partial contains small subunit ribosomal RNA, internal transcribed spacer 1, and 5.8S ribosomal RNA". The record is from RNAcentral.
UUUCCGUAGGUGAACCUGCGGAAGGAGCAUUCAUAAUAAGUGUUUUAUGGCACUUUUUUAAAUCCAUAUCCACCUUGUGUGCAAUGUCAGGGUUGAUUUUUCUCUCGAGAGGAUCAACCCCAAACAUCAACUAUAUCUCAACUCUUUGUCUGAAAAAUAUUAUGAAUAAAACAAUUCAAAAUACAACUUUCAACAACGGAUCUCUUGGCUCUC